Molecule: long non-coding RNA, 267 nt
Filed under: Coccomyxa subellipsoidea
Lineage: Eukaryota; Viridiplantae; Chlorophyta; Trebouxiophyceae; Coccomyxaceae
Description: long non-coding RNA (CSUB_LNC000280)
Source: RNAcentral
UCUUUGUUUCAGUUUAUUUUAGCCGGGCAAGCUGUUGCUCACAUUGUCAAGCACUAGAAUGCAACGAUUUACAAGAACUCAAUGAUCCUAUCUGUUCUCAUCCCUGCACAUUACGAACAUUCUUUUCUGCUGUUCGGUGUUGGUCAUAGUGACAUCCUGAUUUGCUCGCGCUGAUAAAUCUGACCGCUGGUUCUGUUAGCGUCCAAACAUAGUAUGGUACAUUUCGCAUCACGAAGGAGGCAAAUUCUAGUCCAAGAUGGCCUCGCA